GAGUUUGAUCUUGGCUCAGAUUGAACGCUGGCGGCAUGCCUUACACAUGCAAGUCGAACGGUAACAGGUCUUCGGAUGCUGACGAGUGGCGAACGGGUGAGUAAUACAUCGGAACGUGCCCGAUCGUGGGGGAUAACGGAGCGAAAGCUUUGCUAAUACCGCAUACGAUCUACGGAUGAAAGCAGGGGACCGCAAGGCCUUGCGCGGACGGAGCGGCCGAUGGCAGAUUAGGUAGUUGGUGGGAUAAAAGCUUACCAAGCCGACGAUCUGUAGCUGGUCUGAGAGGACGACCAGCCACACUGGGACUGAGACACGGCCCAGACUCCUACGGGAGGCAGCAGUGGGGAAUUUUGGACAAUGGCGAAAGCCUGAUCCAGCCAUGCCGCGUGCAGGAUGAAGGCCUUCGGUU
Molecule: ribosomal RNA, 409 nt
Filed under: uncultured microorganism
Description: bacterial SSU rRNA
Rfam family: Bacterial small subunit ribosomal RNA
Source: RNAcentral